AUAAACCAGCAAGAGUUACAUUCCUGAAAUACCGGAAGUUUACUGUAUAAUUGCGAUCUGUGUGAUGUCUGAGCAGUCAGCUGAGGGUGCCAGUGAGAAGGCUCUCUGCUGAUUAAAAAAGUCGUGGAGGAUUUUCUGCUGACCUUCUUUGUUAAAGAGCAGCAUGAACACUAUGGUAUUACUGAUGACCACAUCUCUCCUCUGGGAAAUAAACAGGAUGAAGUACAUAACCGAAGGAGAUUUACAUUAAUGUUCUGCAGUUUUAAAAUAUUCAUUCAGUUAGCAGAAAUCAAUACAGAUGGUAUAAACAGCUAGUGAUUUCCCUCAUUGAACAGUGCAUUGUGUUAAAAUGUGAAGAUUUCAUUUCUAGAAACUCUUCCAUAGUAUGAAAUGGAAUUAAUCUCCCCUCCCUCUCUUUGCUGGUUGCAAAUGUUCUGUAAGAAAUAAAUUAUGAAUCUUACACCUCGUGUGCACUGUA
Molecule: long non-coding RNA, 478 nt
Organism: Rhincodon typus (whale shark)
Lineage: Eukaryota; Metazoa; Chordata; Chondrichthyes; Orectolobiformes; Rhincodontidae
Exons: 2
Source: RefSeq, a predicted model, not a curated record